RNAcentral lists this small nuclear RNA (106 nucleotides) under Moschus moschiferus (Siberian musk deer). The record is from RNAcentral. Lineage: Eukaryota; Metazoa; Chordata; Mammalia; Artiodactyla; Moschidae.
GUGCUCACUUUGAUAAUAUAUAUGCUAAAAUUAGAACACUAUAGAGAAGAUUAGCAUGGUCCCUGCAUAAGAUGAUAUGCAACUUAAUAAAGUGCUCCACAUUUAA